UACGAAGGGGGCUAGCGUUGCUCGGAAUCACUGGGCGUAAAGCGCACGUAGGCGGCUUUUUAAGUCAGGGGUGAAAUCCUGGAGCUUAACUCCAGAACUGCCUUUGAUACUGAGGAGCUAGAGUCCGGAAGAGGUGAGUGGAACUGCGAGUGUAGAGGUGAAAUUCGUAGAUAUUCGCAAGAACACCAGUGGCGAAGGCGGCUCACUGGCCCGGUACUGACGCUGAGGUGCGAAAGCGUGGGGAGCAAACAGG
Molecule: ribosomal RNA, 253 nt
Filed under: uncultured bacterium
Lineage: Bacteria
Description: partial 16S ribosomal RNA
Rfam family: Bacterial small subunit ribosomal RNA
Source: RNAcentral